Molecule: ribosomal RNA, 511 nt
Filed under: uncultured bacterium
Lineage: Bacteria
Description: bacterial SSU rRNA
Rfam family: Bacterial small subunit ribosomal RNA
Source: RNAcentral
GAUGAACGCUAGCGGCAGGCUUAAUACAUGCAAGUCGAGGGGGAUCAGUUGGGUAGCAAUACCUGGCUGUGAGACCGGCAAACGGGUGAGGAACACGUACGCAACUUUCCCAAAACUGGUGAAUAGCCCUCCGAAAGGAGGAUUAAUACACCGUAACAUAACGAAAUGGCAUCAUUUUGUUAUUAUAGCAGCAAUGCGGUUUUGGAUAGGCGUGCGCCUGAUUAGGUAGUUGGCGGGGUAACGGCCCACCAAGCCUACGAUCAGUAACUGGUGUGAGAGCACGACCAGUCACACGGGCACUGAGACACGGGCCCGACUCCAACGGGAGGCAGCAGUAAGGAAUAUUGGUCAAUGGACGAAAGUCUGAACCAGCCAUGCCGCGUGAAGGAUGAAGGUCCUCUGGAUUGUAAACUUCUUUUAUCUGGGACGAAAAAAGGGAAUUCUUUCUCACUUGACGGUACCAGAAGAAUAAGCACCGGCUAAACUCCGUGCCAGCAGCCGCGGUAAAGUA